Molecule: ribosomal RNA, 490 nt
Filed under: uncultured bacterium
Lineage: Bacteria
Description: partial 16S ribosomal RNA
Rfam family: Bacterial small subunit ribosomal RNA
Source: RNAcentral
GAUGAACGCUAGCUACAGGCUUAACACAUGCAAGUCGCGGGACAGCAUGGGGGUUGCUUGCAAUCCCCGAUGGCGACCGGCGCACGGGUGAGUAACGCGUAUCCAACCUGCCCUUCACCACGGGAUAACCCGGCGAAAGUCGGACUAAUACCGUAUGUUGUCCAUUGACGGCAUCCGAUUUGGACGAAAGGUUUGGCGGUGAAGGAUGGGGAUGCGUCCGAUUAGCUGGACGGCGGGGUGACGGCCCACCGUGGCGACGAUCGGUAGGGGUUCUGAGAGGAAGGUCCCCCACACUGGAACUGAGACACGGUCCAGACUCCUACGGGAGGCAGCAGUGAGGAAUAUUGGUCAAUGGGCGUAAGCCUGAACCAGCCAAGUAGCGUGCAGGAUGACGGCCCUAUGGGUUGUAAACUGCUUUUAUGCGGGGAUAAAGUGGCCCACGUGUGGGUUUUUGCAGGUACCGCAUGAAUAAGGACCGGCUAAUUCCGUG